RNAcentral lists this ribosomal RNA (481 nucleotides) under uncultured bacterium. Its description in RNAcentral is "bacterial SSU rRNA". It matches the Rfam family "Bacterial small subunit ribosomal RNA", at positions 19 to 518 of the family's 1533-position model. The record is from RNAcentral.
AUGGCUCAGGACGAACGCUGGCGGCGUGCUUCAUACAUGCAAGUCGAACGAGAAUCUCUAGCUUGCUAGAGAGGAAAGUGGCGGACGGGUGAGUAAUAUGUAGAGAAUCUGCCCUGGAGAGGGGGACAACAGAGGGAAACUUCUGCUAAUACCCCAUAUGCGCGUAGUUGCGAUACUAUUCGUGAAAGAUUUAUCGCUCCAGGAUGAGUCUGCAUCUGAUUAGCUAGUUGGGGGUGUAAUGGACCACCAAGGCGACGAUCAGUAGCUGGUUUGAGAGGAUGAUCAGCCACAAUGGGACUGAGACACGGCCCAUACUCCUACGGGAGGCAGCAGUAGGGAAUUUUGCGCAAUGGGCGAAAGCCUGACGCAGCCAACGCCGCGUGAUCGUAGACGCCCUUCGGGGUGUAAAGAUCUGUCAGUAGGGACGAACAAUGACUGUACCUACAGAGGAAGCACCGGCUAACUCCGUGCCAGCAGCUGC